This 84-nucleotide transfer RNA is filed under the name Spirochaetes bacterium GWB1_48_6. RNAcentral describes it as "tRNA-Leu". It matches the Rfam family "tRNA". From Rfam's summary of the family: Transfer RNA (tRNA) molecules are approximately 80 nucleotides in length. Their secondary structure includes four short double-helical elements and three loops (D, anti-codon, and T loops). Further hydrogen bonds mediate the characteristic L-shaped molecular structure. tRNAs have two regions of fundamental functional importance: the anti-codon, which is responsible for specific mRNA codon recognition, and the 3' end, to which the tRNAs corresponding amino acid is attached (by aminoacyl-tRNA synthetases). tRNAs cope with the degeneracy of the genetic code in two manners: having more than one tRNA (with a specific anti-codon) for a particular amino acid; and 'wobble' base-pairing, i.e. permitting non-standard base-pairing at the 3rd anti-codon position. Lineage: Bacteria; Pseudomonadati; Spirochaetota. The record is from RNAcentral.
CCCGAGGUGGUGGAACAGGUAGACACAAGGGACUUAAAAUCCCUCGGGCUCACGCCCGUGCCGGUUCGAUUCCGGUCCUCGGGA